GCGAAAACUUUACAAUGCUGGCAACAGCGAUAAGGGAACCUCGAGUGCCAGGUUACAAAUCUGGCUGUCGAGAUGCCUAAAAAGCAUUUCAUAGCAAGGGCCGGGCAAGACCGGUGCCAGCCGCCGCGGUAACACCGGCGGCUCGAGUGGUAACCGUUAUUAUUGGGUCUAAAGGGUCUGUAGCCGGCCGGAUAAGUCCCUUGAGAAAUCUGGCAGCUUAACUGUCAGGCUUUCAGGAGAUACUGUCUGGCUCGAGGCCGGGAGAGGUGAGAGGUACUUCAGGGGUAGGGGUGAAAUCUUGUAAUCCGUGAAGGAGCACCAGUGGCGAAGGCGUCUCACCAGAACGGACCUGACGGCAAGGGACGAGAGCUAGGGGCACGAACC
RNAcentral lists this ribosomal RNA (384 nucleotides) under uncultured prokaryote. Its description in RNAcentral is "bacterial SSU rRNA". It matches the Rfam family "Archaeal small subunit ribosomal RNA", at positions 341 to 725 of the family's 1478-position model. The record is from RNAcentral.